GGUCCUGUAGUGUAGUGGUUUAUCACUUGCUCUGUCGCAAAGGAUGGGACCGCCAGGUUCGAUUCCUAGAGGUACCU
Non-coding RNA from Fomitopsis schrenkii, 77 nucleotides. NCBI's taxonomy places the organism in Eukaryota, Fungi, Basidiomycota, Agaricomycetes, Polyporales, Fomitopsidaceae. The record is from the annotation of a GenBank genome assembly.